This 932-nucleotide long non-coding RNA is filed under the name Gallus gallus (chicken). RNAcentral's name for it is "long non-coding RNA NONGGAT004467". Lineage: Eukaryota; Metazoa; Chordata; Aves; Galliformes; Phasianidae. The record is from RNAcentral.
CAACUUCCUAUCAGUCAAGGGAAAAUCCAUCAUCUGUGCUGCAUUUUCGUAUGCUGAAGAGUUCAUCAUAACCAAGAGAACGCCCUCACGUUGAAGCUUCUCAACUAACAGUUUCCUUUGGAACUGGACAAGGUGAAAGAGCAUGAAGAGGAAUACAUCUAAUACAAAUUACACAAUAGGCUGUACUAAAAAUAAAGCCUGAAGCUACAUAUUUUUGACCCCUAAAAAUUAAUCAGCUAACCAACAACUCACGGAACAAACCAGGGAUACCUUAUUUUACCUUCAGAAAAAGGAAAAUUAAGAAAGGUUCUCCUGCCUAUACUGCAGAAAAUACUUUGUGAUUAUGGCUAACUUUGUAAGUGAGGAUUAUAUUCAUGAUGUAAAUGCAGAGAAUUCCAACAUUUCCUUACUUUGAAGCAGUAUCUUUUCAGACUACCUGGACUGGAUGAGAUACUCAAAGCACACACGUACUGCUGACAAAAGAAUACUCUUUACAGUGCUUCCUGCAAGUUUUAUUUUCCAGAUAAAGGGAGACUAACAGUGCCCUGCUGAUGAAGCAUUCUUUUGCUUUUUGCAUUAGGUUGCGAGUGUAGCUAAAAAUAAGAGCAUUUAUUAAAAAAAAAGAAGUUUAAGCAGGUCUUCAGAAUUCAUUAUCUACUGCUCCAAGCAAGAAGUGCCCUUCCUAAUGCACUUGGCUGUGAGCCCAAAAAGAAAUAAACAGAAAACACAUUUCCCAACACAGUUCUGAGCAUGUCUGGUCACGUUAAGGAAUGAAUUCUCCCCUCCCAAACACUAACCAGCAGUUGGAGCCAAAAUGCCCUCCCCUCCGGCUGUGCUGUGAGGUACCAUAUGUGCAAGUCCUUCCUAUGGUGCUGAUACCAUUCUGGCUCAUUCUUGCACUUAGAAUAUUCUGCUCAAAGUUUCUCUCCCAG